UUCUAUGGCCAUACCACCCUGAACACGCCCUAUCUCAUCUGAUCUCGGAAGCUAAGCAGGGUCGGGCCUCAUUAGUACUUGGAUGGGAGAAAACUGUAUACCUUGAUAC
RNAcentral lists this ribosomal RNA (109 nucleotides) under Oryctolagus cuniculus (rabbit). Lineage: Eukaryota; Metazoa; Chordata; Mammalia; Lagomorpha; Leporidae. The record is from RNAcentral.